Molecule: ribosomal RNA, 301 nt
Filed under: uncultured bacterium
Lineage: Bacteria
Description: partial 16S ribosomal RNA
Rfam family: Bacterial small subunit ribosomal RNA
Source: RNAcentral
CAGUAGCCGCGGUAAAACGUAGGGUGCAAGCGUUAAUCGGAAUUACUGGGCGUAAAGCGUGCGCAGGCGGUUAUAUAAGACAGAUGUGAAAUCCCCGGGCUCAACCUGGGAACUGCAUUUGUGACUGUAUAGCUAGAGUACGGCAGAGGGGGAUGGAAUUCCGCGUGUAGCAGUGAAAUGCGUAGAUAUGCGGAGGAACACCGAUGGCGAAGGCAAUCCCCUGGGCCUGUACUGACGCUCAUGCACGAAAGCGUGGGGAGCAAACAGGAUUAGAUACCCCUGUAGUCCCUGUCUCUUAUAA